UAUAAGGGAUUUUGAGUUUUUGUUUGUACCGUUUGACCACUCGUCUUAUUUAAAAAAAUUGGAAUUAUUAUUUUUUUUGUGACUUACUUUAUUAUCCAAAGUACUUUAAGCACAAUUUUUUAUUUUUUAUAUUUGCACAAAUUUUUUAAAUAAGACGAGUGGUCAAACAGUGUAAUCAAAAACUCAAAAUCCCUUAUA
RNAcentral lists this microRNA precursor (198 nucleotides) under Oryza rufipogon (brownbeard rice). Its description in RNAcentral is "MIR812 microRNA precursor family". It matches the Rfam family "MIR812 microRNA precursor family". The record is from Rfam by way of RNAcentral. Lineage: Eukaryota; Viridiplantae; Streptophyta; Magnoliopsida; Poales; Poaceae.